This 2935-nucleotide ribosomal RNA is filed under the name Staphylococcus saprophyticus. RNAcentral's name for it is "23S ribosomal RNA". It matches the Rfam family "Bacterial large subunit ribosomal RNA". The record is from RNAcentral. Lineage: Bacteria; Bacillati; Bacillota; Bacilli; Caryophanales; Staphylococcaceae.
GUCAAAAAGAUUAAGUUAUUAAGGGCGCACGGUGGAUGCCUUGGCACUAGAAGCCGACGAAGGACGUUACUAACGACGAUAUGCUUUGGGGAGCUGUAAGUAAGCUUUGAUCCAGAGAUUUCCGAAUGGGGAAACCCAGCACGAGUUAUGUCGUGUUAUCGAUAUGUGAAUACAUAGCAUAUCUGAAGGCAGACGCGGAGAACUGAAACAUCUUAGUACCCGCAGGAAGAGAAAGAAAAAUCGAUUCCCUGAGUAGCGGCGAGCGAAACGGGAAGAGCCCAAACCAACGAGCUUGCUUGUUGGGGUUGUAGGACACUCUAUACGGAGUUACAAAAGAACAGACUAGACGAAUCAUCUGGAAAGAUGAAUCAAAGAAGGUAAUAAUCCUGUAGUCGAAAGUUUGUUCACUCUUGAGUGGAUCCUGAGUACGACGGAACACGAGAAAUUCCGUCGGAAUCUGGGAGGACCAUCUCCCAAGGCUAAAUACUCUCUAGUGACCGAUAGUGAACCAGUACCGUGAGGGAAAGGUGAAAAGUACCCCGGAAGGGGAGUGAAAUAGAACUUGAAACCGUGUGCUUACAAGUAGUCAGAGCCCGUUAAUGGGUGAUGGCGUGCCUUUUGUAGAAUGAACCGGCGAGUUACGAUUUGAUGCAAGGUUAAGCAGUGAAUGUGGAGCCGUAGCGAAAGCGAGUCUGAAUAGGGCGUUGAGUAUUUGGUCGUAGACCCGAAACCAGGUGAUCUACCCAUGACCAGGUUGAAGUUCAGGUAACACUGAAUGGAGGACCGAACCGACUUACGUUGAAAAGUGAGCGGAUGAGUUGUGGGUAGCGGAGAAAUUCCAAUCGAACCUGGAGAUAGCUGGUUCUCUCCGAAAUAGCUUUAGGGCUAGCCUCAAGUGAUGAUUAUUGGAGGUAGAGCACUGUUUGGACGAGGGGCCCUUAUCGGGUUACCGAAUUCAGACAAACUCCGAAUGCCAAUCAAUUUAACUUGGGAGUCAGAACGCGGGUGAUAAGGUCCGUGUUCGAAAGGGAAACAGCCCAGACCACCAGCUAAGGUCCCAAAAUAUAUGUUAAGUGGAAAAGGAUGUGGCGUUGCCCAGACAACUAGGAUGUUGGCUUAGAAGCAGCCAUCAUUUAAAGAGUGCGUAAUAGCUCACUAGUCGAGUGACACUGCGCCGAAAAUGUACCGGGGCUAAACAUAUUACCGAAGCUGUGGAUUGUCCGUAAGGACAAUGGUAGGAGAGCGUUCUAAGGGCGUUGAAGCAUGAUCGCAAGGACAUGUGGAGCGCUUAGAAGUGAGAAUGCCGGUGUGAGUAGCGAAAGACGGGUGAGAAUCCCGUCCACCGAUUGACUAAGGUUUCCAGAGGAAGGCUCGUCCGCUCUGGGUUAGUCGGGUCCUAAGCUGAGGCCGAUAGGCGUAGGCGAUGGAUAACAGGUUGAUAUUCCUGUACCACCAUUAUUCGUUUUAAGCGAUGGGGGACGCAGUAGGAUAGGCGAAGCGUACGAUUGGAUUGUACGUCCAAGCAGUGAGAUUGAGUGUUAGGCAAAUCCGGCACUCUUAAGAUUGAGCUGUGAUGGGGAGAGGAAAUUGUUUCCUCGAGUCGUUGAUUUCACACUGCCAAGAAAAGCCUCUAGCUAGAAUUGUGGUGCCCGUACCGCAAACCGACACAGGUAGUCAAGAUGAGAAUUCUAAGGUGAGCGAGCGAACUCUCGUUAAGGAACUCGGCAAAAUGACCCCGUAACUUCGGGAGAAGGGGUGCUCUUUAGGGUUAACGCCCAGGAGAGCCGCAGUGAAUAGGCCCAAGCGACUGUUUAUCAAAAACACAGGUCUCUGCUAAACCGUAAGGUGAUGUAUAGGGGCUGACGCCUGCCCGGUGCUGGAAGGUUAAGAGGAGUGGUUAGCUUCUGCGAAGCUACGAAUCGAAGCCCCAGUAAACGGCGGCCGUAACUAUAACGGUCCUAAGGUAGCGAAAUUCCUUGUCGGGUAAGUUCCGACCCGCACGAAAGGCGUAACGAUUUGGGCACUGUCUCAACGAGAGACUCGGUGAAAUCAUAGUACCUGUGAAGAUGCAGGUUACCCGCGACAGGACGGAAAGACCCCGUGGAGCUUUACUGUAGUCUGAUAUUGAAAUUCGGCACAGCUUGUACAGGAUAGGUAGGAGCCUGAGAUACGUGAGCGCUAGCUUACGUGGAGGCGUUGGUGGGAUACUACCCUCGCUGUGUUGGAUUUCUAACCCGCACCAUUUAUCAUGGUGGGAGACAGUGUCAGAUGGGCAGUUUGACUGGGGCGGUCGCCUCCUAAAGAGUAACGGAGGCGCUCAAAGGUUUCCUCAGAAUGGUUGGAAAUCAUUCAUAGAGUGUAAAGGCAUAAGGAAGCUUGACUGCGAGACUUACAAGUCGAGCAGGGUCGAAAGACGGACUUAGUGAUCCGGUGGUUCCGCAUGGAAGGGCCAUCGCUCAACGGAUAAAAGCUACCCCGGGGAUAACAGGCUUAUCUCCCCAAGAGUUCACAUCGACGGGGAGGUUUGGCACCUCGAUGUCGGCUCAUCGCAUCCUGGGGCUGUAGUCGGUCCCAAGGGUUGGGCUGUUCGCCCAUUAAAGCGGUACGCGAGCUGGGUUCAGAACGUCGUGAGACAGUUCGGUCCCUAUCCGUCGUGGGCGUAGGAAAUUUGAGAGGAGCUGUCCUUAGUACGAGAGGACCGGGAUGGACAUACCUCUGGUGUACCAGUUGUCGUGCCAACGGCAUCGCUGGGUAGCUAUGUAUGGACGGGAUAAGUGCUGAAAGCAUCUAAGCAUGAAGCCCCCCUCAAGAUGAGAUUUCCCAACUUCGGUUAUAAGAUCCCUCAAAGAUGAUGAGGUUAAUAGGUUCGAGGUGGAAGCAUAGCGAUAUGUGCAGCUGACGAAUACUAAUCGAUCGAAGACUUAAUCAAAUUUUA